Molecule: long non-coding RNA, 484 nt
Filed under: Coffea arabica (coffee)
Lineage: Eukaryota; Viridiplantae; Streptophyta; Magnoliopsida; Gentianales; Rubiaceae
Description: long non-coding RNA (CARA_LNC006309)
Source: RNAcentral
GGAGUCGUUUAAAAGGGGUUUCUUACUACUUUUUCCUAUUUUUUCUUUUAAAAUUCAUUUUUUGGUGACUUGGUACAACUUAACUCAUUACCAAGUGGCGACUCCAAUUUUUAUUUCAAAAACCUUUUUUAAACUAUAAUUUUGGGUCAAAUCAUCGCAUUCUCAACCCCCCAUUUAGACCCAUUUUUUCCUUUUAAAUCACAAUUUAUUUUCCAAUCACAAAAAAUACAUUUUUAAAACCAUUUAUUUUAUUUAUCAAAAAAUGGGGCGCGACAUUUUUCCCUAUUAUAGUGAUCUGUGUAAGGACCCUUCUUAGGAUCUACUCUUUGGUUUUGGUUAUAAUCAUAAGGAUGUAAUGGUAUGGAUAGUUACUUUUGGGGAUGUAAAUAAUACUCUUUUGCCGUGUGAAUAGCUUUUAUUUGCUUUUGCCUUCGAGUCCUGGCGCGAGUUGGGCAGGCAGUCCGCCGAACCCUUUGGUUCACCU